CUCACUCUCUCUCUCUCUCUCUCUCUCUCUCUCUCAGUCUCGCUUUAACCUUGUGCCCGCUCGGUGCCCGCUGCUCCUGCCCCUAGAGAUUAAAGAAAAAGAGAGAAAAUGAGAUAGCUUUAAAAUGACGAGAUAGACCAAAUAGAGUGAAGAAAGAAAAAAAGAAAGAAAGAAAGAAAGAAAGAAAAUGUGAGAUAGUGAUAUAGUGAUACAAGUGAGCAAGUGAGAGAUAGAGAAAGUGAGAAAGUGAGCAAGUGAGAGAGAGAACAAGAGAAAAUAAAGAGAGUGUGUGAUUUGAGAGGUGAGAAAAUAAAGAAAGAGAAAAAGAAAGAGAGGAAAAUAGAAAUAAAGAAGAAGAAGAAGAAGAGGAAGAAGAGGAGAAGAAGGAGGAGGAGGAAAAAUGAUGAAAAAUUAAAGAAAAUUAAAGAAAAUAAAUAAUAAAGAGGAAAGAACGAGCCUAUAUAAAUUUUCUUAGGCCUAAAAUUUUUCAAGAGGCGUAAAAAGUAAAAAAAAUAAUAUUAAAGAUAAUUUUUUUUUUCAAGAGGAUAAAAAGUGUAGAUUUUUUCAAGAGGAACAAAAAAAAGAGGACUGAAAAUUAAGAGAGGAAUGAGAAUACGCCUAUUUUUUUUUUUCAAGAGGACAAAAAAUUCUAGGUCUAAAAGUGAAAAUAAAUAAAAGCCUAAAUAUUUUCAAGAGGACUGAAAAUUGAACAGGAAUAAAAAUAAGCUUAAUUUUUUUUUUCAAGAGGACGAAAAAAUCAAGAGGCCUAAAUUUUUUCAAGGUCUAAAAAUUAAUGUGAUAAAAAUUUGAGGUCUAGAAAAUUCAAGAGGAAAAAGUCAAGAGGCCUAAAUUUUUCAAGAGGACGAAAAAAUCAAGGUCUAAAUUUUUCAAGAGGACGAAAAAAUCAAGGUCUAAAUUUUUUCAAGGUCUAAAAAUUAAUGUGAUAAAAAUUUGGGGUCUAAAAAAUUCAAGAGGAAAAAAAUCAAGAGGCCUAAAUUUUUCAAGAGGACCAAAAAAAAAAAAAAAAUAUAUCAAGAGGCCGGAAAAUGAAAAUGAUCGAACAUUGAGGCUUAGAAAAUUCAAGAGGAAGAGAAGAGAGGAAAUAAAGAGACCUAUUUUUUUUUCCAAGAGGACCAAAGAAAAACGGCCUAAAUAUUUUUCAAGAGUACCCACAAAAAAAAUUUCAAAAAAAUAUCGAGGUCCAAAAUUUUUCAAGAGGACGAAAAUUUUUUAAGAGGACUAAAAUUUUUUCAAGAGGUCUAAAAUUUUUCAAGAGGACAAAAACUAAGAAAAUAAUUCAGAAAAUAAGGAAAACAACAAGAAAAUUAGGAAACUUAAGAGGCGUGUGUGGAAAAAGAAGAAAAACAAGAGGAA
This is a long non-coding RNA of Portunus trituberculatus (swimming crab), 1374 nucleotides long. RefSeq lists it as uncharacterized. The transcript has 2 exons. The record is from RefSeq and is a predicted model, not a curated record. NCBI's taxonomy places the organism in Eukaryota, Metazoa, Arthropoda, Malacostraca, Decapoda, Portunidae.